GUGGACUGCACCGGAGAAGGCGUCUUGUUCAUUGAGGCUGAUGCAGACACCACACUCGAGCAUCUGGGCGAUGCGAUUCAGCCGCAUUGUCCAUGUUUUGAGGAGCUUCUAUACGAUGUUCCCGGCUCCGGAGAGAUCCUUGGUUGCCCUUUGCUGUUAAUUCAGGUCAGCAAUCUUUAAUAAACAUGGAUAGAGAUUAAUUGUGAUAAUAUAGAUGGGGAAAAAGUUCCUAAAGUUAUACCGGAAAAAGUUGCAGACAAUAUAAAGAAAAAGUUUCUUACCUGUAUAUGUGUAUGCACUCCUUUUAGCCUUGAUGAGUUUUAAAACCGCGAGGACAUUUUGGUCAGAGGGAUUAAUCUUUAUCUUUGUUUUAACAUAUGUAGGUGACGCGUUUGAGGUGCGGAGGGUUUGUACUUGCACUGCGCCUAAA
Molecule: long non-coding RNA, 430 nt
Filed under: Vitis vinifera (wine grape)
Lineage: Eukaryota; Viridiplantae; Streptophyta; Magnoliopsida; Vitales; Vitaceae
Description: long non-coding RNA (VVIN_LNC000575)
Source: RNAcentral